Molecule: long non-coding RNA, 509 nt
Filed under: Corvus moneduloides (New Caledonian crow)
Lineage: Eukaryota; Metazoa; Chordata; Aves; Passeriformes; Corvidae
Description: lncRNA (ENSCMUG00000019092.1)
Source: RNAcentral
AAAGUUAAUCAGCUCUCUUGAUUUCAGGGGAGAUGCGCCGUGUAACAGAGUGAAUGAAUCUGAAGCCUUCAGACUUCCCAUUUGCUUUUCUGGGGAUAAAUUCAGGCAGAGAAAGGCAAAUCCCUGACUUUUGUUCUCUUGAAAACAAGAAUUAAGAUACAUGUGUUGGAAGAACAUUACUGAAGUCACCCAAAGUGAAGUAAUCAAUUUAAUUAUUCUGUCGUUUCUUCAAAACUUGAUGCCAAGAUCAGCUAUGGUUUCCUGAAGAUCUUCAGGACACUGCAUGAGGAACAUCCACACCAUGCAAAAUUUUAGUGUUUUCCAUGCUGGCUUGGGAUGACCAGCUGUAUCUGCAUUGCACAGAGCAAGUGCAGUUAUUUUUGCCUCUACACAGUGGUGACCCUCACUUGCUUCUGAUCCUGGCUUAACUAGCUGAUUUAGGUAUCUGCACUUUCCUCCCUCACCUGCUGUAAUUACAUCCACUGCCUACCUGUACUCUCCAUAAUCUC